Small nuclear RNA from Myotis lucifugus (little brown bat), 100 nucleotides. NCBI's taxonomy places the organism in Eukaryota, Metazoa, Chordata, Mammalia, Chiroptera, Vespertilionidae. The record is from Ensembl.
GUGCUCACUUCAGCAGCACAUUUACUAAACAAUACAGAGAAGAUUAGCAUGGCCCCUGCGCAAGGAGGACACACAAAUUCGUGAAGCGUUCCAAAACAAA